CGCCUGUUUAACAAAAACAUUUCUUCUUAAGGUUGGUGGAGGUAGUUUCUGCUCAGUGCAGAAAUGUAAAUAGCUGCGGUAUUUAACUGUACAAAGGUAGCGUGAUAAUUUUUUUUUUAAUUGAAAGGUAGGAUGAAUGAAAAAACAAAAUAUAUUCUUUAUAAAUAUAAUAGGUUAAAAUUUUUCAUAAAAGUAAAAAGACUUUUAUUUUUUAAAGGGACGAAAAGACCCUGAAAAUUUUGAGUGGAAUAUAUGAUAUAAAUGUAUUCUAUUUUUAAUUGGGGUGAUUGAUUAUAAAAAUAUUUUUUAAUUGAAACACUAUUUAUGGAGUUGAUUUUCUUUUAUUUAAACAUAAAGUGAAAUUACUUCAGGGAUAACAGCAUUAUUAAUUUAGAUAGUUCAUAUUGAAAAAUUAGAUUGUGACCUCGAUGUUGAAUUAAAUUAUACUUCUGAGCAGAAGAAGAAGAGUGUUGGUUUGUUCAACCAUUAAUUGUUUACAUGAUCUGAGUUCAGACCGG
RNAcentral lists this ribosomal RNA (518 nucleotides) under Tachaea chinensis. Its description in RNAcentral is "partial 16S ribosomal RNA". It matches the Rfam family "Bacterial large subunit ribosomal RNA", at positions 1797 to 2619 of the family's 2925-position model. The record is from RNAcentral. Lineage: Eukaryota; Metazoa; Arthropoda; Malacostraca; Isopoda; Corallanidae.